Molecule: ribosomal RNA, 1570 nt
Filed under: Rubrisciurus rubriventer (Sulawesi giant squirrel)
Lineage: Eukaryota; Metazoa; Chordata; Mammalia; Rodentia; Sciuridae
Description: 16S ribosomal RNA
Rfam family: Bacterial large subunit ribosomal RNA
Source: RNAcentral
UUCUAGCCCACNNNNNNNNNNNNNNNNNNNNNNNNNNNNNNNNNNNAAACAAAACAUUCACCCCUAUAAAAGUAUAGGAGAUAGAAAUUUUUAAUUGGAGCUAUAGCGUUAGUACCGUAAGGGAAAGAUGAAAGAAUUAACUAACAGUAAAAUAUAGCAAAGCCUAAAUCUUCUACCUUUUGCAUAAUGAAUUAACCAGAAACAACUUCACAAAAAGAAUUUAAGUCAAGAACCCCGAAACCAGACGAGCUACUUAUGAGCAGCUAUCAGAGCCAAUCCAUCUAUGUAGCAAAAUAGUGGAAUGACUUGUAAGUAGAGGUGAAAAGCCUACCGAGCCUGGUGAUAGCUGGUUAUCCAGAUAAGAAUUUUAGUUCAACUUUAAAUUUACUAUAAGCACUCCCAAUCAAAACGUAAAUUUAACUGUUACUCUAAAGGGGGACAGCCCUUUAGAUAUAGGAAAAACCUUAAAUAGAGAGUAAGCCUAACAACUACCAUAGUUGGCCUAAGAGCAGCCAUCAAUUAAAAAAGCGUUCAAGCUUAACCAAACACAUUAACUUAAUUCCUAGCACUAGUAACCACCUCCUAACCCUACACUGGAUUAAUCUAUUAUUAAUUAUAGAAGCAAUAAUGUUAAUAUGAGUAACAAGAAAAACCUUCUCCCCGCAUAAGUUUAUAUCAGUCCGAAUAAAUCACUGAUAGUUAACAAGCCCAUAGUUCAAUUCAACAACCCAAACUACUAUUAUCCAUAAUGUUAACCCAACACCGGUAUGCACUUUAUCAAGGGAAAGAUUAAAAGAAGUAAAAGGAACUCGGCAAACACUAACCCCGCCUGUUUACCAAAAACAUCACCUCUAGCAUCAAUAGUAUUAGAGGCACUGCCUGCCCAGUGACAUAUGUUAAACGGCCGCGGUAUCCUGACCGUGCAAAGGUAGCAUAAUCAUUUGUUCCUUAAAUAGGGACUUGCAUGAAUGGCCAAACGAGGGUUUAUCUGUCUCUUACUUCCAAUCAGUGAAAUUGACCUUCCCGUGAAGAGGCGGGAAUAAGCAAAUAAGACGAGAAGACCCUAUGGAGCUUAAAUUUAUUAAUCCAAGUAAUCUCUUUAUAAAUUCUAUAAGAAAUAACCUACUACUCGUGGAUUAAAAAUUUUGGUUGGGGUGACCUCGGAGUAUAGCCUAACCUCCGAAUGAUCCUAGUCUAGACCACAACCCGUCUAAACUCCAAUUCAUAAAUUGACCCAAACAUUUGAUCAACGGAACAAGUUACCCUAGGGAUAACAGCGCAAUCCUACCCAAGAGUCCCUAUCGACAGUAGGGUUUACGACCUCGAUGUUGGAUCAGGACAUCCAAAUGGUGCAGCCGCUAUUAAUGGUUCGUUUGUUCAACGAUUAAAGUCCUACGUGAUCUGAGUUCAGACCGGAGAAAUCCAGGUCGGUUUCUAUCUAUUAAAAAUUUCUCCUAGUACGAAAGGACAAGAGAAAUAAGGCCACUUUCCACAACAUGCCUUAUGACAAUAGAUGAAAUAAUCUAAAUCUAAUCAAUCUAUUUAUUUACUCUAUCCUAGACCAGGAUUA